AAGACAUUAGUAAAAUACGUAAAUUACAUCACCUUGUCAAGGUGAAAUCGCAGGUUAGACCCCUG
Molecule: transfer RNA, 65 nt
Filed under: Rhinichthys osculus (speckled dace)
Lineage: Eukaryota; Metazoa; Chordata; Actinopteri; Cypriniformes; Leuciscidae
Description: tRNA-Asp
Rfam family: tRNA
About the family: Transfer RNA (tRNA) molecules are approximately 80 nucleotides in length.
Source: RNAcentral